This is a non-coding RNA of Arachis ipaensis, 1561 nucleotides long. The record is from RefSeq and is a predicted model, not a curated record. Lineage: Eukaryota; Viridiplantae; Streptophyta; Magnoliopsida; Fabales; Fabaceae.
AAUUCUCCCCCCCAAAACACUUCUUAUUUUCACAAAGAUAAGAGUGGUUAGCGGACGAGAGAACGUCCAUAAAAUCCUAAAUUCUCUACCGCCAUUUUCGCCGCGUUCCCUCUGCCGUUUUCGCCACCGGUGCGCCAUUACAAUUGCCAUGGCCGUUGCAGUAGAGAGCUUCUGGAUUGAGCCACCUAUUUUAUCAAUGCGUUUUCAUAUCUGUCUCUCUAUAUUGUCGUUCCUGUCACUGUUGCCACUGUAGUUUCCGCAGCCGUUGCCGCCACAGUUUCAGCCGUCGAUGCCACUGUAGUUGUCGUGGUACAACACGUUUUCAGAUCUGUUCACUCCUGAGCUUCUUCUUCAAUGCCGCUUCCUCUCACUCCAAUUUCUCCUUUGAACUGUCGAUGGAGUAUUGGAAAUGAGGCAGGGAAGACAUGAUAAUUGAUCAUUGAAGCUAUUUUGUUUCACGCCAGUAGAUUUUAAGUUUUGGCAAAAUAAUUCUGUCUAUCUCUCUCUCUCUCUCUCUAAUUUGAUGGAAGCAGCUAGGGUUUCUCUUACUUGCAUCUCAAUUUAGUAGCAUCGGCAUCCAAUAAUCUUGCUUGAAAUUCGUUACGGAGGGAUCUCCUGGGAUUGAAGAUAGUGGCAAGUCUGAGGCACAUUUGACUUCGGCUGCUGCUUUUGUGGGGGGUGGAAUUUAGGAUGCUUGUGAUGAUGCUUGCAGCAUUUGUCUUGAAGCCUUCUGUGAUAGUGAUCCUUCCACCAUAUGACCCUAAUUUUUUUUAUCACGUGUUCAUUUCUUGGAUGACUAAAGUGAGAUAGAAUCAAAACUAUACAAUAAUAAAUUGAUAGAUUUGAAACCACUGCAGAUUUGCUAGCAGAGGUGUGUAGAAGAGAGAUAGAAGCAAACAUUAAACCUGAUCCAGACAUCGAUGUUUAUAUGAAAGCCAGAGCAGCUGGAGGCCACAAAGCGAAUAUUAUAACAAGUUUUGGGACUUGAGAUCUGUGCAGAUACUUUUGUGGGAAAUGCAAUGUUAAGAGGUAUCUCUGGUGGACAAAGAAAACGUGUUACAAUAGAGGCCACAAUUGGUGAAGGGAAACAUGCAACUUUACUCCGUGGAUCAGCAACGUAGUCAGGCUCUUGAAGCUCAUGCUGCAUCCUUUGCUCAAUUUAAGGUUUUUGGAAAUGAUAAUCCUUCUGUUUUGAUAUCUUUUGCCUCAAAGACACUUAAUGCUAGUCAAAUUAUAUUGAAGCUACAUGUUAUUGAGCUGGAUGCACAGUCAGGUCUACAUAUUUUGGCCUCUCACACCUGUCUCCUAUGUUUUUAUUCUAUGGCAGCAUGGGUGUUACACAAACGUGUCUUGUAGUACCAAGUUACUUGUCCUCUCCUGAUUUUUCAUGUAAUUACAUGAUAUUGGAAUAUUUUUAUUUUGAGACUUUUAUGUAAUUAGAUGAUAUUGAAAUAUUAUAGUUGUUAUUUUAUUUUACUUUUUAAAGAAAAACAAUAAUAGUUAUGUAGAACAAUACCAUAUGUAAUUAUGUUUGGAACUAUUGACAUUGAGAAUUUUUUUA